Molecule: transfer RNA, 69 nt
Filed under: Marmota monax (woodchuck)
Lineage: Eukaryota; Metazoa; Chordata; Mammalia; Rodentia; Sciuridae
Description: tRNA.Ala
Source: RNAcentral
GGUUUGUGGCCCAAGUGGUAGUGUGCUCACCUAGCAUGUGUGAGGCACUGGGUUCGAUCCUCAGCACCA